GCAGAGCAGGCAGACCAAGGAGUUCAUCUUC
Molecule: non-coding RNA, 31 nt
Filed under: Homo sapiens (human)
Lineage: Eukaryota; Metazoa; Chordata; Mammalia; Primates; Hominidae
Source: RNAcentral